AAGUCGUAACAAGGUUUCCGUAGGUGAACCUGCGGAAGGAUCAUUACAAAUCCAUCCACGUCUCUCCCCGAGACCACGUCGAAAUGUUCCCCAGACCGGACGGGUCUCCGUCCUCUCCCUGUCCUGGGAGAGAGGCUGAUCCCCCCGCCCGGCCUGGGCUGUGAAACGAGUGUCACGUUGUUGCCCAAAUGUAUCUUGAUUUCCAUCAAACGAAAACUUGUACAACUUAUAACAAUGGAUCUCUAGGCUCUU
Molecule: unclassified non-coding RNA, 252 nt
Filed under: fungal sp.
Lineage: Eukaryota; Fungi
Description: partial internal transcribed spacer region
Rfam family: Eukaryotic small subunit ribosomal RNA (bases 1-46)
Source: RNAcentral